This 383-nucleotide ribosomal RNA is filed under the name uncultured eukaryote. RNAcentral's name for it is "partial 18S ribosomal RNA". It matches the Rfam family "Eukaryotic small subunit ribosomal RNA", at positions 592 to 976 of the family's 1831-position model. The record is from RNAcentral.
CAAUAGCGUAUAUUAAAGUUGUUGCAGUCAAAAAGCUCGUAGUUGGAUUUCUGGUGGGAGCGAUCGGUCUGGCGCUUAGCGCGAGUACUUGCAUCGUCUCCGGCCAUCCUUGGGGAGAGUCUGUCUGGCAUUAAGUUGUCGGGCAGAGGAUCCUCAUCGUUUACUGUGAAAAAAUUAGAGUGUUCAAAGCAGGCUUAUGCCGUUGAAUAUAUUAGCAUGGAAUAAUAAGAUAGGACUUUGGUACUAUUUUGUUGGUUUGCGCACCAAAGUAAUGAUUAAUAGGGACAGUUGGGGGUAUUCGUAUUCCGUUGUCAGAGGUGAAAUUCUUGGAUUUACGGAAGACGAACUACUGCGAAAGCAUUUACCAAGGAUGUUUUCAUUAA